CACACGAGUUUGAUCAUGGCUCAGAUUGAACGCUGGCGGAAUGCUUUACACAUGCAAGUCGAGCGGCAGCGCGGGGGCAACCCUGGCGGCGAGCGGCGAACGGGUGAGUAACAUAUCGGAACGUACCCAGUCGUGGGGGAUAACUAUCCGAAAGGAUAGCUAAUACCGCAUACGUCCUGAGGGAGAAAGCGGGGGAUCGCAAGACCUCGCGCGAUUGGAGCGGCCGAUAUCGGAUUAGCUAGUUGGUGGGGUAAAGGCUCACCAAGGCGACGAUCUGUAGCGGGUCUGAGAGGAUGAUCCGCCACACUGGGACUGAGACACGGCCCAGACUCCUACGGGAGGCAGCAGUGGGGAAUUUUGGACAAUGGGCGCAAGCCUGAUCCAGCCAUGCCGCGUGAAGGAUGAAGGCCCUAUGGGUUGUAAACUUCUUUUGUACGGGAAAAAACCUUCUUACGUGUAAGAAGCUGAUUGUACUGUAAGAAUAAGGAUCGGCUAACUCCGUG
This 503-nucleotide ribosomal RNA is filed under the name uncultured bacterium. RNAcentral describes it as "bacterial SSU rRNA". It matches the Rfam family "Bacterial small subunit ribosomal RNA", at positions 1 to 507 of the family's 1533-position model. The record is from RNAcentral.